This 360-nucleotide ribosomal RNA is filed under the name uncultured Anaerolineaceae bacterium. Its description in RNAcentral is "bacterial SSU rRNA". It matches the Rfam family "Bacterial small subunit ribosomal RNA", at positions 1008 to 1382 of the family's 1533-position model. Lineage: Bacteria; Bacillati; Chloroflexota; Anaerolineae; Anaerolineales; Anaerolineaceae. The record is from RNAcentral.
AUAGAAGUUACUUCGGUACAUCGGUGACAGGUGGUGCAUGGGCUGUCGUCAGCUCGUGUCGUGAGAUGUUCGGUUAAGUCCGCUAACGAGCGCAACCCUCGUCGUAUGUUAUAUGUGUCAUACGAGACUGCCGGUAAAAGCCGGAGGAAGGUGAGGAUGAUGUCAAGUCAGCAUGACCUUUAUAUCCAGGGCUACACACACGCUACAAUGGUCUGUACAAUGGGUAGCCAAGCCGCGAGGCGGAGCCAAUCCUGAAAGCAGGCCUCAGUUCAGAUUGCAGUCUGCAACUCGACUGCAUGAAGCCGGAGUUGCUAGUAACCGCAGGUCAGCAAUACUGCGGUGAAUACGUUCCCGGGUCUU